CCUACGGGUGGCAGCAGUGGGGAAUAUUGGGCAAUGGGCGCAAGCCUGACCCAGCAACGCCGCGUGAAGGAAGAAGGCUUUCGGGUUGUAAACUUCUUUUCUGAGGGACGAAGAAAGUGACGGUACCGCAGGAAUAAGCCACGGCUAACUACGGGCCAGCAGCCGCGGGAAUACGUAGGGGGCAAGAGUUAUCCGGAUUGAUUGGGUGUAAAGGGCGUGGAGGCGGGAAAGCAAGUCAGAUGUGAAAACGCAGGGCUCAACCCGGAGCCUGCAUUUGAAACUGUUUUUCUUGAGUGCUGGAGCGGCAAUCGGAAUUCCGUGUGUAGCGGUGAAAUGCGUAGAUAUACGGAGGAACACCAGUGGCGAAGGCGGAUUGCUGGACAGUAACUGACGCUGCGGCGCGAAAGCGUGGGGAGCAAACAGGAUUAGAUACCCGAGUAGUC
RNAcentral lists this ribosomal RNA (443 nucleotides) under uncultured bacterium. Its description in RNAcentral is "partial 16S ribosomal RNA". It matches the Rfam family "Bacterial small subunit ribosomal RNA", at positions 338 to 795 of the family's 1533-position model. The record is from RNAcentral.